GAUUAACGCUGGCGGCGUGCAUAACACAUGCAAGUCGAACGAUGAAACUUAACUGAUUUCUUCGGAAUGAUUUUAGGUGGAUUAGUGGCGGACGGGUGAGUAACGCGUGAGUAACCUGCCUUGGAGAAGGGGAUAGCCUUUGGAAACGAAGAAUAAUACCCUAUGAUAUGAUAAUAUCUCAUGAUAUUAUCAUCAAAGAUUUAUCGCUCUAAGAUGGACUUGCGUCUGAUUAGUUAGUUGGUGAGGUAACAGCUCACCAAGGCAGCGAUCAGUAGCCGGCUUGAGAGAGUGUACGGCCACAUUGGGACUGAGACACGGCCCAGACUCCUACGGGAGGCAGCAGUGGGGAAUUUUGCACAAUGGGGGAAACCCUGAUGCAGCGACGCCGCGUGAUUUAGAAGGCCUUCGGGUUGUAAAAAUCUUUUGUAUGGGAAGAAAAUGACAGUACCAUACGAAUAAGGACCGGCUAAUUACGUG
This 477-nucleotide ribosomal RNA is filed under the name uncultured bacterium. RNAcentral's name for it is "partial 16S ribosomal RNA". It matches the Rfam family "Bacterial small subunit ribosomal RNA", at positions 28 to 507 of the family's 1533-position model. The record is from RNAcentral.